This 460-nucleotide ribosomal RNA is filed under the name uncultured bacterium. Its description in RNAcentral is "partial 16S ribosomal RNA". It matches the Rfam family "Bacterial small subunit ribosomal RNA", at positions 338 to 795 of the family's 1533-position model. The record is from RNAcentral.
CCUACGGGAGGCAGCAGUGAGGAAUAUUGGUCAAUGGACGAGAGUCUGAACCAGCCAAGUCGCGUGAAGGAUGACUGUCCUAUGGGUUGUAAACUUCUUUUAUAUGGGAAUAAAACGUUCCACGUGUGUGCUUUUGUAUGUACCAUAUGAAAUAAGAUCGGCCAACCACGUUCCAGCCGCCCCGGUAAUACGGAGGAUCCGAGCGUUGCCCGGACUUAUUGGGUUUAAAGGGAGCGUAGGUGGAUUGUUAAGUCAGUUGUGAAAGUGUGCGGCUCAACCGUGAGAUGGCAGUUGAAACUGGCAGUCUUGAGUGCAGUAGAGGUGAGCGGAAUGCGUGGUGUAGCGGUGAAAUGCUUAGAUAUCACGAAGAACUCCGAUUGCGAAGGCAGCUCACUGGACUGCAACUGACGCUGAGGCGCGAAAGUGUGGGGAUCAAACAGGAUUAGAUACCCGUGUAGUC